GUUGUUGGGUAGGGGAGCGUUCUGUAAGCCUGCGAAGGUGACCUGUGAGGGUUGCUGGAGGUAUCAGAAGUGCGAAUGCUGACAUAAGUAACGAUAAAGCGGGUGAAAAGCCCGCUCGCCGGAAGACCAAGGGUUCCUGUCCAACGUUAAUCGGGGCAGGGUGAGUCGACCCCUAAGGCGAGGCCGAAAGGCGUAGUCGAUGGGAAACAGGUUAAUAUUCCUGUACUUGGUGUUACUGCGAAGGGGGGACGGAGAAGGCUAUGUUAGCCGGGCGACGGUUGUCCCGGUUUAAGCAUGUAGGCUGGUUGUCCAGGCAAAUCCGGAUAAUCAAGGCUGAGGUGUGAUGACGAGGCACUACGGUGCUGAAGUAACAAAUGCCCUGCUUCCAGGAAAAGCCUCUAAGCAUCAGGUAACAUUAAAUCGUACCCCAAACCGACACAGGUGGUCAGGUAGAGAAUACCAAGGCGCUUGAGAGAACUCGGGUGAAGGAACUAGGCAAAAUGGUGCCGUAACUUCGGGAGAAGGCACGCUGGUGUGUAGGUGAAGUCCCUGCGGAUGGAGCUGAGACCAGUCGAAGAUACCAGCUGGCUGCAACUGUUUAUUAAAAACACAGCACUGUGCAAACACGAAAGUGGACGUAUACGGUGUGACGCCUGCCCGGUGCCGGAAGGUUAAUUGAUGGGGUUAUCCGUAAGGAGAAGCUCUUGAUCGAAGCCCCGGUAAACGGCGGCCGUAACUAUAACGGUCCUAAGGUAGCGAAAUUCCUUGUCGGGUAAGUUCCGACCUGCACGAAUGGCGUAAUGAUGGCCAGGCUGUCUCCACCCGAGACUCAGUGAAAUUGAACUCGCUGUGAAGAUGCAGUGUACCCGCGGCAAGACGGAAAGACCCCGUGAACCUUUACUAUAGCUUGACACUGAACAUUGAGCCUUGAUGUGUAGGAUAGGUGGGAGGCUUUGAAGCGUGGACGCCAGUCUGCGUGGAGCCAACCUUGAAAUACCACCCUUUAAUGUUUGAUGUUCUAACGUUGGCCCCUUACCGGGGUUGCGGACAGUGUCUGGUGGGUAGUUUGACUGGGGCGGUCUCCUCCCAAAGCGUAACGGAGGAGCACGAAGGUUAGCUAAUCCUGGUCGGACAUCAGGAGGUUAGUGCAAUGGCAUAAGCUAGCUUGACUGCGAGCGUGACGGCGCGAGCAGGUGCGAAAGCAGGUCAUAGUGAUCCGGUGGUUCUGAAUGGAAGGGCCAUCGCUCAACGGAUAAAAGGUACUCCGGGGAUAACAGGCUGAUACCGCCCAAGAGUUCAUAUCGACGGCGGUGUUUGGCACCUCGAUGUCGGCUCAUCACAUCCUGGGGCUGAAGUAGGUCCCAAGGGUAUGGCUGUUCGCCAUUUAAAGUGGUACGCGAGCUGGGUUUAGAACGUCGUGAGACAGUUCGGUCCCUAUCUGCCGUGGGCGCUGGAGAAUUGAGGGGGGCUGCUCCUAGUACGAGAGGACCGGAGUGGACGCAUCACUGGUGUUCGGGUUGUCAUGCCAAUGGCACUGCCCGGUAGCUAAAUGCGGAAGAGAUAAGUGCUGAAAGCAUCUAAGCACGAAACUUGCCCCGAGAUGAGUUCUCCCUGAGACUUUAAGUCUCCUGAAGGAACGUUAAAGACGAUGACGUUGAUAGGCCGGGUGUGUAAGCGCAGCGAUGCGUUGAGCUAACCGGUACUAAUGAACCGUGAGGCUUAACCUU
RNAcentral lists this ribosomal RNA (1727 nucleotides) under Klebsiella pneumoniae. RNAcentral describes it as "partial 23S ribosomal RNA". It matches the Rfam family "Bacterial large subunit ribosomal RNA", at positions 1220 to 2925 of the family's 2925-position model. The record is from RNAcentral. Lineage: Bacteria; Pseudomonadati; Pseudomonadota; Gammaproteobacteria; Enterobacterales; Enterobacteriaceae.